This 690-nucleotide ribosomal RNA is filed under the name uncultured archaeon. RNAcentral describes it as "bacterial SSU rRNA". It matches the Rfam family "Archaeal small subunit ribosomal RNA", at positions 102 to 792 of the family's 1478-position model. The record is from RNAcentral.
GGAUAACUUACCCUUAGGACUGGGAUAACUCUGGGAAACUGGGGAUAAUACUGGAUAUUAGGCUAUGCCUGGAAUGGUUUGCCUUUGAAAUGUUUUUUCGCCUAAGGAUAGGUCUGCGGCUGAUUAGGUCGUUGGUGGGGUAAUGGCCCACCAAGCCGAUGAUCGGUACGGGUUGUGAGAGCAAGGGCCCGGAGAUGGAACCUGAGACAAGGUUCCAGACCCUACGGGGUGCAGCAGGCGCGAAACCUCCGCAAUGUACGAAAGUGCGACGGGGGGAUCCCAAGUGUUAUGCUUUUUUGUAUGACUUUUCAUUAGUGUAAAAAGCUUUUAGAAUAAGAGCUGGGCAAGACCGGUGCCAGCCGCCGCGGUAACACCGGCAGCUCGAGUGGUAGCUGUUUUUAUUGGGCCUAAAGCGUUCGUAGCCGGUUUGAUAAGUCUUUGGUGAAAGCUUGUAGCUUAACUAUAAGAAUUGCUGGAGAUACUAUUAGACUUGAAGUCGGGAGAGGUUAGAGGUACUACCGGGGUAGGGGUGAAAUCCUAUAAUCCUGGGAGGACCACCUGUGGCGAAGGCGUCUAACUGGAACGAUCUUGACGGUGAGUAACGAAAGCCAGGGGCGCGAACCGGAUUAGAUACCCGGGUAGUCCUGGCCGUAAACGAUGUGGACUUGGUGUUGGAAUGGCUUUGAGUUG